UCCUGUGUUGCAGUUUCGUUUUGUGACCGACACUAACGGGUAAUUGUUUGGCCGCCAGGAUUACUCGUUUUUGCGAUCACAAAUUAUGAAAUUGCAGCAA
Molecule: microRNA precursor, 100 nt
Filed under: Drosophila melanogaster (fruit fly)
Lineage: Eukaryota; Metazoa; Arthropoda; Insecta; Diptera; Drosophilidae
Description: microRNA dme-mir-274 precursor
Gene: dme-mir-274
Rfam family: mir-274 microRNA precursor family
Source: miRBase by way of RNAcentral